Molecule: ribosomal RNA, 253 nt
Filed under: uncultured bacterium
Lineage: Bacteria
Description: partial 16S ribosomal RNA
Rfam family: Bacterial small subunit ribosomal RNA
Source: RNAcentral
UACGGAGGGGGCAAGCGUUGUUCGGAAUUACUGGGCGUAAAGGGCUCGUAGGCGGCCAACUAAGUCGGACGUGAAAUCCCUCGGCUUAACCGGGGAACUGCGUCCGAUACUGGAUGGCUUGAGUUCGGGAGAGGGAUGCGGAAUUCCAGGUGUAGCGGUGAAAUGCGUAGAUAUCUGGAGGAACACCGGUGGCGAAGGCGGCAUCCUGGACCGACACUGACGCUGAGGAGCGAAAGCCAGGGGAGCAAACGGG